AUGAAAGAACGACGAGCUGGGAAAAAAAUUGCCCAGCUCGGCGAACAAGCGAACCAAUCGUGCCCCCCGCUCAAGGUGUCAAAAGACAUCGUCGCUAAUGAUCCGAGGAUGGUGCCCGGUUAUAGCAAUCUUGGAGAUUACCUGCCCGACGAUGUACAUUAUGAAAUCAUGGAGGUGGACGAACACAAAUACCAUUACGGGAAGCCUCUCGUGAAAGAUGUCAGAUCUCUAAGCACGAUGAUGCGAAGACUACAUGAUUGGUACAUGAAAACCUGUAGAGAGUCUGAUGGGAUGAAUACUUUGACGCUGAGAGUUAAACCGGAGCAUGACCUCUUUGGAAUUGAACUGCUGGAUGUUCCAUUUGAGGAUUUCUUCCAGUUUUACAAUCAAAAGGCCCUCGAUAAGACAACGAUCACUUGCUACUGUCUGUAA
RNAcentral lists this ribosomal RNA (432 nucleotides) under Triticum aestivum (bread wheat). Its description in RNAcentral is "partial small subunit ribosomal RNA". Lineage: Eukaryota; Viridiplantae; Streptophyta; Magnoliopsida; Poales; Poaceae. The record is from RNAcentral.